This 256-nucleotide ribosomal RNA is filed under the name uncultured bacterium. RNAcentral describes it as "partial 16S ribosomal RNA". It matches the Rfam family "Bacterial small subunit ribosomal RNA", at positions 521 to 776 of the family's 1533-position model. The record is from RNAcentral.
UAAUACGUAGGGAGCAAGCGUUGUCCGGAUUUACUGGGUGUAAAGGGUGCGUAGGCGGCUUUGCAAGUCAGAUGUGAAAUCUAUGGGCUCAACCCAUAGCCUGCAUUUGAAACUGCAGAGCUUGAGUGAAGUAGAGGCAGGCGGAAUUCCCCGUGUAGCGGUGAAAUGCGUAGAGAUGGGGAGGAACACCAGUGGCGAAGGCGGCCUGCUGGGCUUUAACUGACGCUGAGGCACGAAAGCGUGGGUAGCAAACAGG